UGUGCUAAUGAAACUAGUCAUAGGAAGUGCCAUCCGAGGCGAUAACUGAUGAUGUCCUACUUACCUGACU
Small nucleolar RNA from Nannospalax galili (Upper Galilee mountains blind mole rat), 70 nucleotides. RefSeq annotates it as small nucleolar RNA SNORD49. The record is from RefSeq and is a predicted model, not a curated record. NCBI's taxonomy places the organism in Eukaryota, Metazoa, Chordata, Mammalia, Rodentia, Spalacidae. The transcript has a single exon.